CCUGCACCUGCACCUGCACGACCCGGUUUUGACAAGGAGGGCUCCGAUUCUGCUCGGCUCAGGGAGGCAGCGCCAGAGAGGCCCCAUCGCCGGCCUGCAGCGCCCUAAAGAGCGCACCAGGAGAAGGGAAGGACCCGAGGACAGGCGACAGGGCGGAGGUCCGCGCGGCGUGACCUUGGCCGGCCCCUCCGCCACCUGGGGGCAGCCUCCCGGCCGGCGCACCGAGCCCAGCCCGGCCGGAUGCGGGACGUGCCAGGACAGCAGUUUCGGUUUCCCGAGAAGCUGACGUCCCCGCCGGCGCGGCGAGUCCCUAGGGCCGCCCGCCGCGCCCCGCCCGGCCCCCGCCCGGCAGCCGCCGCGGCCCGCGGGGUGGGGGGCGCCCGAGGGGCGUCGCCUCAGCAGCCGCGCUCAGGACGCCCACCCGCCAGCCCUUCCGCGGCUCUCACACAGGCGGGGCAGGACGGCCCGCGAGCCCCGCCGCGCCCCGGCGAGCACGGCCGGCCGGCCGGCCCGCGCAAGGCCCCGUCGCCCCGGCCUGCAGCGCCGCCACCGCUGCGCGCCUUCCCGCGCCGCCCCCCACACACCCUACCUUCCGCCAUGUCGGGCCGGCCCUGCUGCAGCCUCGCGAGAAGUGCGCCGCGCAAGCGGGGCGGCGCGGACCCGAGGCCGCGGGUCUCGCGAGAGUCUCGGGAAGCGGGAGGGCGGAGGGAGCGCGGGCGGGCGGCGGCCGGCGGGCGGAGGCCUCUCAGCUCCUCACACCUUCGAGGCGCGGGUGCGCGCCGGCAGCCAACCGUGGCCGCGGCCCAGACAGGGCCCUGGACGGGAUGCACACGGCGAGCGGACCCUGCUCCUUGGAGAAACCUGGCGGGGAGGCGGUCGGGAGCGUGACUCUGUGGUCUCGCGGCGCGUUGGCGACGGGCAGGGGCCGAGGCUGCGGGAGAGGAGGCGGGAACCGGGCCAGGGACUGGAUGCGGACCCCACCGCGGACGGAGUUCAGAAGACCCACUCCGCACCCCACCGUGGACCCCACUCCGCACCCCACCGCGGACCCCACCCCGCACCCCAACCGGACCCCAUACCGGACACCACCCGGACCCCACACUGGACCGCACCCCGGGCCCCACCCAAACACCACCACGGACCCCACCCCUGACCCCACGGUGGACCGCACCCCAGAUCCCACCCCAGACCCCACCGCAGACCUCACCCCGGACCGCACCGCGGACCUCACACCGGACCCCACACCGGACACCACUGCGGACCUUACCCCGGACCGCACCCCGGAUCCCACGCCAGACCCCACCGCGGACUGCACCUAGACCCCACACGGAACUGCACCCUGGAUCCCACCGUGGACCUCACCACGGACCGCACCCGGUACCCCACUGCGGACCCCACCGCGGACCACACCCCGGAUUCCACCCCGGACCCCACCGCGGACCACACCGAGGACCACACCUAGGAGCUCACUCUGGACCUCACCUCGGAUCUCGCCCCGGACCCUACCGCGGUCCCCACCGCGGACCCCAUCCCGGACCACACCGCGGAGCUCACUCUGGACCUCACCGCGGACCCCACCGCAGACCCCACCCCGGCCCCACCGCUGAGCUCACUCUGGACCCCACCGCGCACCACACCCAGGCCUCCGUGCGGACCCCACUGCGGACCCCGGGGCAGGGUCUUACUCGGGUAAACCCCUGGGACCAAGGACAAGCGUGCAGGCAGACGGACGGAAGAGGCGGAGAGACAUCAGGACGCCGCUCGAUGACAUCAGUUGGUGGCACGGGACCGGAGAGAGCCGAGAGAUCUGGGAGAGGCGUCGGGCCAGAGGGGCUGCCCCGCGUGUCUCCUGUGCGUGUGGACGGGCACCCUCCGAGCAGAACCCCGCCUGGCUGCAGGCGCUGAGAGUGCAGAUGACCGUGUUCCCCGGUGCCCAAGGUCUCCUGCCACACAGGCGGGGAGUGCGUUGCGAAGGCAACUCAGCACCACCCUGGCAUGUGACACGCAGCAGGUGCUCGGUAUGUUUGAGGAGUCGUUCCCGCCACGAGCUACACCAGCAGUCAAGGGGACGGGGUUCACAUCGGGCUCUGCAACUGACCUGCUGUGUUGAUCAGGGCAGGACCCUGCAAGCUGCCCUCUCAGGUCCUACAGCAGUUUCUACAGGGGGACAGGACAUCCGGAGGAUCACGAACCCCUGAGAACGUGAUGGAAACCAGGGAGAGCAGCACACAUGCAGGAAGAAACAAAUCUGUGCCCUUCCCGCCUGCUUGGACUAGAUGCCUGCAGCGAAUGAAAGCUCCCCUAAGGGGCCUAGUCAACUCAAGGGCUUGUCUGCCUCCUUGUCAUAACCAUGACCUGCCCUCACCAAGCCUUCUCUCAGAAGUGAGAGCCCUCCUCCUAGAGAUGCUGGUACCAGGACUCCAUCUCUGACCUGAUCUGGGCCCUUGUCUUCCAAGGGGACUCCUACUAGCUGGAAACCCCUGAGCUACAGAGCCUGUGAAACAAAGCAUCAGACAACUCCAGCAGCCAACAGGAUUCCCGGCAGCUCACAAGGUCAGGCAAGAUGUCUGAGCGCCUGAACAUGGUUCACUUUAGAUGUGACUCGGGCUUUGCUCAGAUAAGGAGAAACUCGGCUGUCCGGGACGGGGAACACGAGGUGUGUGAAGGGUCACCACAGACCGCCUAGGGCACAAGGGCACAGGCUCUUCCCGGGGAGGAGGUGCCAGGUCCUGGUAGAGAGGGGAAGGGAGGGAACCACUGGACCCGUGGGCCAGCGAAUUAGGUUCCACUACGGGCCUCAACACGUGCUCCCCCGGGUGACCUUGGGAAGGAAGAACCACCUGCUAGGGAGGGAGCAGCACCCAGCACAGAAGCGAGGAAGCAAGGCCCUGGAACCGAAUCCUCGCCGGAAACGUACUCGCUCUGCAGUCUUGCCACGCUGAUCCGAACCCGUUUUCCUCAUGAGAAACUACUACUUUGGAGGACCCUUGUGAGAAUGUGCCUUGCACCAGCCUGCCAUAAAGUGCAAGCUCCACCAGUAGGAAUACGGUUUCUGGCGCUCCUUGGGAACAAACGAGGUGUUGCUGGGCACACGGAGCGCUCUCCUGCUUCCUCCUAAUGGAUGCUGCCGGCAAGGGGGAAAUAUCAAGGGUCUUGCCUAGGAUUCUCUGAGCAGCUCCUAGGUCUAAGCUGUGUCUGCUGCCUUUUGUGAAAGCUUCUUCCUUCUCCUGAUUUAUUCCACCUGUGUGAACAGGAAGCGGAAUUCUUUCAUCAUGUCACUAUGGCUCAGUGGGGCAUGCAGACUAAAUGAGACCAAAAAAGAAAAGUUACCCCUACCUUGGCAGUCAUGUUGCACACAUCUGAAACGGAGCAACCAAAAGUAGCUUAUCCUGGAAAUAAUUUGCUCUGCAAACUGAACCCUGUUGGGGCUUCCAGUCCUCCAGAAAAAUUUUUUAUCAGUAAAAUUAAACUCUGAAAAUGACCCCGAACCUUCCCCGGACUGCUGUCAAGGACGAUUUUCUUCUUGUUUCUAACACAGCUCUCAUUAAGAGAUCUGGCUUCUUGUUCUUUUCUCAGGUCGCAAGGAGGCGGCCUUGGCGGCCACCGGCAUCAUUUAUCAACACAAACACUACCUCACACCGUAAAUCCACGUGAACUCCACGUGAGGGCACAGGGUAGAAAGGUAGACAGGGACACCCUUUUAAGGGCGGGAAAAAGUGCUCGGUCUUGCCCCUUUUAUGCUAACUUGCUAAGUGAGCCUGGUGCUACCUGGGGCCACGUUCGCCCAUCCGUGUGGAGGAGGGAAGGUGGUGGGCUUGAGGUGGUGCCCGUGGGCUCUUCCGGUCCACGCUCAGGUCUGGGUUCCCCGCCUUCUAGCUUAUGUCUGUGGUAGAGCCGCUUCAGGCUAAAGACAAAGUCCCCGAAACACGCUAACACAUGCUCAUUUCAUUCAAGGCCCUUCAUCAGCAGGUACCUGAUGCUGCUUGGCCCCGUACUGGAAAUCUUAAGACCAUCGUAGCAGGUCAGAAGUCAACUUCCCACCCUCUGGUUCCUUCUUUAAAUGAAGUUUUAAAAGUCCUUUAUCAAGAUUCCCUUGUGGACCUUUUGGUAUCAUGUGCUGUUUCGAAAGAAUCCCACAACUUGCUUUUGAGACCUGCAUCCUAAAACCAAAAUAGCUCAUGAUACAGCCUCUAAGUGAUCAUUUAUUGAUUUACACAGCAUCCACCACACGAUGGAGGUGCUUUACAAUACAGCAAACAUCACAACAGAACUCACAUAGUUAAAUACAAUCAACAAGUUACAGAACUAAAAAAAAAAAAAAAAAAAACAACAACAACAAAAAACUGGAAUGACGCAACAUUAUGUCAGAUUUCAGAGAUGCUGAGAAGUGGCAGUAAGUACAAAGAAGGCAAUUCCACCAACUGGAGACCAGACGGGAAAAAAUAGAUCCACAAGCACCACAACCCCAAGUGUGCAGAUUCGUAGAGGGUGGUGAGCAUAUGAAAUAAAAUUUCACAACCGAGAAUGAAGGCCAUUAAGGAUACCAGGACACCCACGUGAUCAAAGAACGAGUGGAAUACCCUCACGGAGAGAGUGCCUCGUAAUGACAAGGGAACCAAUCUCUCGUGGAUUUUAAACUCACAGAAGGAGGCCAGAAAGCCACUGAGAUCAUACAUCCCGUAUGAGCACAGACUGAAAUCUGGAAGCCUUUACCAGAACUUGGAAUCAAUUUAGGAAAUAGCCAACAGUCCUAAAACCCGUAAGACUGUGUAGAUGUUGUUGACAGUUGGCACAGAGUUAGGGAGAAAAAUCCUUUUCCUAGAACAGAGAGGACUCACCUCACACUAGUGAUGAGGCACUGGUGGGGCAAAAGCCACCUGGAUCAGUGUCACCUGAGAGUGGUUUAAUAUCAAAUAUGGAGGCGCUAAGUUCACACUGUCAGAUGAACACAGGGAAAGGCACAGGUGAUGCCCCUGGCAGAGAAGAAGUCACACACAACCCUCCCCGCCCCCCCCCCAGGCCUGUGUGUCCACAUGCAGCACGCCAGGGCGCCAGGUGGAAAAGAGCGGGAAGGGAGGGGCCCUCGUUCCUGGCUCCCCCUUUGACUCCCCAGGAUCUAGCCCCAAAACACACAUGGUUACUCCAAGGUACCUGCAUUUAAGUGGCACUUAAAGUUCAGUAAGAGUUGUCCCUGAGUUACUAGGUCAUUUGCCGCUCCCUGAAGAGUCAAGUCCCAGGUUUUAACUUGACAGAUCACUAGCAGAAUCACAGCAACGGGAGAGCAAAGUUCAGACUCCAUUCUGCCACAAGCAGCCACCAUGUGGACAGUUUCUGAUGUAAGAGUAAGAGGGACUGCAUUCAAAUCCCAGGCGCGUGUGCACUACCAGCACUUUGGGGCAACAAGUUUUAGAAUUUUGGCGGGGGGGGGGGGGGGGGGGAGUCCCAAAUGAAGUUCUCGAAGAAAACUGGCUGCAGUAAAUCAAAUCAAACAAUUUUCACACUCAGCAAUUACACAUGUAUGGGAUUUUAUAAUGUUUCAGAGUGGGGAACAGACAGGUGUUUAGAAAAAUCACUCUCUACUGUGUCUACAUCCUCAACCAUUUUACUUCUGCUUCAGAAAGGACCUGCAGAGUCCACAGAGGAUGGGGCUACUCAUAGGGAUCCCUUCACUCUCUGCCAAAGCGUCUCUCCAAGCCCCACAGAGCAGAGACGCACCAAUUCUCACAGAAUUGUGUCCCAUCUGGUACCGUCUCGAGUUCUGUCUCUUACAGGCCAACUACUACUUCCCAAUCCCAACCUCACACCCAACAUAGAGGAACCUGGGCCUGCCGUUAACACUGCACACGUUCACUUCAUCAUUUCCUGAAGCUGUUUUAGAAAACAUGAUAUGAAAUAUGCUUAUGCUCAAACAUUAAUAAAAUCCAAGUGCACUAUGUCAGUGACAGAAUCUAUAUGUCAAACAGCAAAGCAUUCACACCCCUGUAGUGCUUUGAGAUCCACAUAAGAACCUAGAUAGAGCCCAAUACAUCCACUGCCACGGCCAUGGGAUUUUCAAGUAUAAGUCUGUUUGCAUAAGGAAUCAACCUGAGAUUUUUCUAAACUGCAUUUCUCUGGCAUUCAGUAUUAUAACCUUCAUUCAAUACAAUAAAAGCCAACAACUUGACAAUUAUUGGAAAAAAAUUGUAUUUUGGAAGAACUCACUACAUAAGGUGACAGAAUUCCAAAAUCAAAUUACAUGAAAAUAUACAUCGCAAUUUCUUUGUACAAUAAGUGA
This is a long non-coding RNA of Felis catus (domestic cat), 6274 nucleotides long. RefSeq lists it as uncharacterized. The transcript is spliced from 2 exons. The record is from RefSeq and is a predicted model, not a curated record. Lineage: Eukaryota; Metazoa; Chordata; Mammalia; Carnivora; Felidae.